Molecule: long non-coding RNA, 1174 nt
Filed under: Drosophila melanogaster (fruit fly)
Lineage: Eukaryota; Metazoa; Arthropoda; Insecta; Diptera; Drosophilidae
Description: long non-coding RNA:CR46268 (Dmel_CR46268)
Source: RNAcentral
CGCACUUAUAAUCACAUUAACCAUGAACCCGUACAAUAAGUUUCAAGAUAUGGUUUUAAAGCAAUGGUUGGUCAUGGAUGAUGCACUUUUCCAAGCAUGUGGGUUUUGUCUAGUUGCGGCAUCUGAUGACCAGUCGGUGUUUAUCACUUGGGACAAGUAUUAUUUGCUAAACAUACGCUUUAAGAUGCCAGAGGACAGCUGCAGGAUAAAAAUGACUGCUGUGCGAAUUCCUGUGCCUAAAAGUGGAGGAGGCUAUAUUAGGAGUGUGCAUGCUUUGAGGUACCGGUAGAAAGUUGUGGAAAUACAUUCCGAGCAAUUUUCAGUGGAAGAAUAGUACCUGCGAAAUACAGGUUGAACAAUAAGCAAUUUAUGGAAAGGAAACCAAGUAUACCAAAAAUCAGGCAGGUCAGCAGUCUUGGAAGUCAAUUCACUUUUCCCAAUAUAGCGGAUCUAUUUUGCAAUGCCGUCUCCAUUCACAAUGACUAUUGUAAAUUGCAUUUUAUAAACGAAAAGUUGCAAUUCCAUUUAAAUGGAAUGUUGGAAAGUAAAGAUGCUUCAGCGAUUUACUAUUUUAAGCAACAUAUUAUUCUAAACUCGGAUCAACUGGAAUCUGCAUCCAAAAAUUAUGACAUGACCUUUCAUACAAUAAUGAGCGACGUUGACCGAUUUCGGUACCGACAAUGUAACGACAUCUUGGCCCCUGGAACAAAUUUUUCCGUUUUAAAGUCAAAAUAUAAUAUCAUUAGAAAUGACAUUCAUUAAGAAUUUUGCGUACAUCGAAACUAUUCAAUAACCUUUUACGCUCACUUUUCUUAUUUAUACCCUAUAGUUAGAUAAACUAAAUCUAAAUCUAAUAAACUAAAUCUAAUCUAAUCGUUCCAAGGCUUGUACGUAUGAUAUUUUAGACACCAGACCCAUAUCCAAAAGUUGUCAUUGUGUAAUCCUCUUCUCUGCAUUAUUAAGAAAAUUAUUGAAUUGUGUCUAUCACAAGCGCAAAGAUCAUCCCAUCAGAACUAUGCUAUGUGAUUUUUGAAGUAAUAGCGCAAACAUUGUUGUUGUCUGGACUUUAGAUGAUAAAUCAAUCGCUCAGCUACAAGAUAAACAUUUUGUACAAGAAAAAUAUAAUGAGUAUAUAUGCUUAGUUAUAAAACAAAUAAAAUAUUCUUAAGAUGUU